RNAcentral lists this ribosomal RNA (246 nucleotides) under uncultured bacterium. RNAcentral describes it as "partial 16S ribosomal RNA". It matches the Rfam family "Bacterial small subunit ribosomal RNA", at positions 524 to 769 of the family's 1533-position model. The record is from RNAcentral.
UACGAAGGGGGCUAGCGUUGCUCGGAAUCACUGGGCGUAAAGCGCACGUAGGCGGAUUGUUAAGUCGGGGGUGAAAUCCUGGAGCUCAACUCCAGAACUGCCUUCGAUACUGGCGAUCUUGAGUCCGGGAGAGGUGAGUGGAACUCCGAGUGUAGAGGUGAAAUUCGUAGAUAUUCGGAAGAACACCAGUGGCGAAGGCGGCUCACUGGCCCGGUACUGACGCUGAGGUGCGAAAGCGUGGGGAGC